UACGUAGGGUGCAAGCGUUGUCCGGAAUUAUUGGGCGUAAAGAGCUCGUAGGCGGUCUGUUGCGUCGGCUGUGAAAACCCGGGGCUCAACCCCGGGCCUGCAGCCGAUACGGGCAGACUAGAGUUCGGCAGGGGAGACUGGAAUUCCUGGUGUAGCGGUGAAAUGCGCAGAUAUCGGGAGGAACACCGGUGGCGAAGGCGGUUCUCUGGGCCUGUACUGACGCUGAGGAGCGAAAGCGUGGGGAGCGAACAGG
RNAcentral lists this ribosomal RNA (253 nucleotides) under uncultured bacterium. RNAcentral's name for it is "partial 16S ribosomal RNA". It matches the Rfam family "Bacterial small subunit ribosomal RNA", at positions 524 to 776 of the family's 1533-position model. The record is from RNAcentral.